RNAcentral lists this ribosomal RNA (253 nucleotides) under uncultured bacterium. RNAcentral's name for it is "partial 16S ribosomal RNA". It matches the Rfam family "Bacterial small subunit ribosomal RNA", at positions 524 to 777 of the family's 1533-position model. The record is from RNAcentral.
UACGUAGGGUGCAAGCGUUAAUCGGAAUACUGGGCGUAAAGCGUGCGCAGGCGGUUAUGUAAGACAGAUGUGAAAUCCCCGGGCUCAACCUGGGAACUGCAUUUGUGACUGCAUAGCUAGAGUACGGUAGAGGGGGAUGGAAUUCCGCGUGUAGCAGUGAAAUGCGUAGAUAUGCGGAGGAACACCGAUGGCGAAGGCAAUCCCCUGGACCUGUACUGACGCUCAUGCACGAAAGCGUGGGGAGCAAACGAGG